Molecule: small nuclear RNA, 102 nt
Organism: Neomonachus schauinslandi (Hawaiian monk seal)
Lineage: Eukaryota; Metazoa; Chordata; Mammalia; Carnivora; Phocidae
Source: RefSeq, a predicted model, not a curated record
GCCUGCUUUGGCAGUACAUACACUAAAGUUGGAAUGACACAGAGAUUAGCAUGGCCCCUGCACAAGGAUGACAAGCAAAUUUGUGAAGUGUUCCAUAUUUUU